GCCGGAGUGGUGGAAUGGCAGACACAGAGGAUUUAAAAUCCUCAGACCUAACGGUCGUGCGGGUUCAAGUCCCGCCUCCGGUACCA
RNAcentral lists this transfer RNA (86 nucleotides) under Pseudodesulfovibrio profundus. Its description in RNAcentral is "tRNA-Leu". It matches the Rfam family "tRNA". From Rfam's summary of the family: Transfer RNA (tRNA) molecules are approximately 80 nucleotides in length. Their secondary structure includes four short double-helical elements and three loops (D, anti-codon, and T loops). Further hydrogen bonds mediate the characteristic L-shaped molecular structure. tRNAs have two regions of fundamental functional importance: the anti-codon, which is responsible for specific mRNA codon recognition, and the 3' end, to which the tRNAs corresponding amino acid is attached (by aminoacyl-tRNA synthetases). tRNAs cope with the degeneracy of the genetic code in two manners: having more than one tRNA (with a specific anti-codon) for a particular amino acid; and 'wobble' base-pairing, i.e. permitting non-standard base-pairing at the 3rd anti-codon position. Lineage: Bacteria; Pseudomonadati; Thermodesulfobacteriota; Desulfovibrionia; Desulfovibrionales; Desulfovibrionaceae. The record is from RNAcentral.